GACCAAAGUUUGAAAAUGUUUCAAACAGAUUUUUAAAUGGAUUUGAAGUAGGUUUUUGAUUAAAAGAAAAAGAAAAAAAAAGAAGAAGGGACAAAACCUCUCCUUUUCUUUCUCUCCAUCUCGGCCCAGCACCCCCUCCCCUUUCUCCCCUCGCGCGGCCCAGCUCGCGGCGCGGCCCAGUGUCGCCCCAGCCCAACCGUGCCUCCCUUCCCCUCUUCUCUCUCUGACCAGCGGGCCCCAUUCUUUCUCUCUCUGACCGGUGGGACCCUUCCGUCAGCGCCUCCCUUUCUUCCCCAGCGUGACAGAACGGGACUCUAUCGAAUCGGCAGAGAUUUUCUUGCUUCUUUUUGCCAACUGAGCGCUCUAUAAGGUCUCUGGCCAUCUACCGAGCUUACCCUUUUCCAUCUAUACGCUCGGGAGCCGCUCCUAUCUAUCGGGGUGGCCAAUUUAGAUCUCGGUGAACACAACAACGCCGCCGCCGUGGAGAGUCAUCCCUUGAAGCUUUUCCGUGGGAUUUGAUCCAUUGCCGAGUUUAGCGCUGCGGUAGCGAUCCCGCCAAGCUUUUUCUCUCACGUUCUUAUGCUUUGGUUUGAUCUCAAUUGCUCGCCGAACCUUGCGCAGGGAGUUACUGUCCGCCAUCCGCGUGGUCCGCCCGACCCCGAGCUUUCUCUGCCGCGAUAAAACCCCUAGGUGAGUUCCCCUUGCCUCCCUCUAUCUUCCCAUGCUCUCAGAUUCGUUUCUAGUGCCCGGAAUCGCCGGUUCUCUGAGCUCCGACGAAGCUCCGGCCGGGUCCGGCCAUGGCGCCACCGCGCUGGCCCUGUUCCGGCCGGCAGUCCCCUUCUCGCCCCCCUCUAUUUAAUCGUCACCAUCCUUUCGAGAUCUAAUGGACCAGGAUGGCCGAUACCCCUUCGGCUGACAAACUUUCUAAAGAGCCCCUGGCAUUUUUCAAAAUAGAACCCGCAGUCCAAAGCACGUUUUCUAAAAUGCGCUUUCUGAGUUGGAAGACGUAAAGUCUGCCGGCUUGUUUCGGAAAUACGUUUUCAGUAUUUACUAAAAUGCCAUUGAACUUGUUUUGGCUAUAAAGUAUUCAUUUUAACUCCGUUUUUGUCCAUUCAAAUUUCGUUAGAUUCGUAUUUACAUGCUCUACAUGUUAGAAAUAUUAGUUUACUGUUUUGAAACUUUUAAUUCUGCAGUAGCAUUUAAUUAUUUAUUUCUCUAUAGGAAAUCUUGGAAAAUUCAUAUCUUCUACGUUUUAAUUCCGAUUUUUGCGAUCUUUACGUCUAUGAACCCGUAGCGAUGCGUAGAAUCAUUUUAUAAACUUUUCAUACUAUUUUUAUAUGAUUGGUGUACUGUUCUAAUUAUAGUCUUGUUUGCUUCGUGUAUGUUUGUCUCCGAUUAUUUGUGUGUUGAUGAUCGAUGAUCGAGGUUAGACGGUGAGAAAUUCGUGGUGCACAAGAGUACUUCAUUGAUCAAGAUCAGAGCCUUGGACAACUGGCAAUAUCAGCAAGAGCAUUUGGAUUAAGGCAAGUAUAGCAUUUGGAUUCUAUUUCUGUGACCAUGAUCCUGUGACUAGAUUAAUGAUAAGUAAUAAACGAUAAAAAUGACUUUUUAGCAACUUGAUGAUUUAUCUGUACGUGAUCACCCGGGACAACUGUGCAACCAUGAGGGCUAUAAUGGCUCUGGCUUUAGUCAAGUAUGAGUAACGUUUCUAGCUCGUUAGCGGUUACCCGUGUGGCGCAAUUGGGGAAUAGCAGACCGUGGAUUCCUGCGGGUGAAUCACAUGGACUGACUAACGAAACCAAGCGGCCCUAACUUGUUAGACAAACCUUUGAAAGACUUUAUAGUGAUCCCUGCCGACCUCCCUAGGAAGGGGGUUAAGAGAUUAGCUACCUCGGGCGAAAGGGUAAAUCAUGACUCAUGGGUAAAGAUGUGCAACCUCUGCAGAGGGUUAAAAACUAGUAUACUAGCCGAGCUCACGGUCAGGAGCGGCCUUGGGGACAUCUACAUUAAGGGUGAUGAAUCUUGUGUGUUAAAUAUGCUCAUUGUUUAUUGUUUAAUGCUUUACAUUAUUUAUGUCACAUUGAUCAUGAGAUUGUGGGAUCUAUACAAUCUAGUUGCUAUACUUGUGGAGUUCGACAUGGACUCACUCUUGCUAUUUCCCCCAUACAUCAGGAGGAGUGUUAGGCUUGUGAUCAACCAGUCAGUUGGAUCCUGUAGAGUGAAGUUAAUACCCGAAGUUUGGAGUUGUCUAUCCGCUAUUUGCUAUUAAAGGUUAUCUCUUUUAUACUAAGAACGUUAUAUAUUUAAACAUUGUCUUUUGAUAUUACCCCUUAUUUGUAGCUAUUUGUGAGUCUUGGCUUCUAAAACUCACAUAUGGUGCAUAUCUGAUUUUGUCCUUAAAAUCGGGUAUUACAAAGUGGUAUCAAAGCAAUGCUGACUGUAGGACGCAAGCCUAGUUAGAACUGGACGUUUUAGCAUGCUUCUAUCUUUGUUUACCUCUUGCUUUCGCCUUGACCUUGAUAGUUGCUAAAAGUUAUGCUUACCUCUAGCCCAGUUCUUUUAUAAAAUCUUGUCUCUAUUCUAAAUCCUCUCUCUUUGUCCCUUUAGAUGGAUCAUAACGAGGAGACCUUUGACAAGAAAGAACAAAAGCACCCAGAUUUGCCAACCGUAAAAGCAUUCGACAUGGAGAAGUUUCUAGCCAUGCAAACACAAGUAGUGGAAGGAAUAACUCAGAAUAAGAACUCUCAACAACGUAUCUCAGGACCCGUGAGGAGACAAGUAGCAGAAGCAUGGAAAAAUAUGAGAAAUCAUGGAAGCAUUGGGAGUAAUACAUCAGGAUAUCAGGAUCAAUGCCACUGUUGUGAGCAUUAUGGUCUUCCUUGUCUUCGGAAUAUGUCGUCUAAAAAGGAAGUUAAGACAAAACCAACUUGUGUGACUAAUGAGGAUAAGAAGAGGAAGGCAAAAGCACUAGAGCCGACAUUGGGAAGUGAUCAACACCCAAAUCCCAAGAUGUCACAUGUAGCUUCGAAUUCUUGUCAGGAAAACCCAAAACUUGGAGAUGAACAAAUUCCCCAAGCUAAUCCGACUGCUCAUGAGGUAUGCAUAGAUGGAUGGACAAUCACUUACAAAGAGUUUCAACCUUGGAGGAUCAAGCAAUGUAGAAAGAAAUCUAACCAGGCAAAGAUAAACUAUCAGAGUCCGCAAGUUGAUAACACACCGAACAACACUUCUGUGGAAAAUAACAUCACGAAGGAUCCAGCUAAGAGAAGGUGUUAUCACUGCCAACAAGAAGGACAUUAUAUAAGCUCUUUUUCACAAAAGAAGCAACAGAUGCAUCGUGAAAAUAACCACACUAAGUCUAAGAUAUAGGUGUUUGUGUUCCCCGGUGUAAUAAAAACGCUAGUAGCGAAAGUUAAGUUUGUGUGCCUUGUGAACCUUUAAUGCUUAAUUGCUUGUUAUUAUGUUUAUGUUUGAUUUGGAUCUUUGUAAUGAGUGUAAUGAUUUUGUGAGUUCUUCGCAAUUUCAUUUAGUUUAUAGAACUAAGGCAUAAGGUGUAAUGACAUAAGUAGUUGGGUUUGGUUAUAUCCUGUUUCUAUCUUUUGCUGUUUUCUGGAGCAGUCUGCAAUAAUCACAGUGUAUAUCAGGAUCUGUUCGUGCAAAGUUUACCAAAUUUUUCUGGGAACAACUAGACUUCAAGAUCUUUCUCUGACCUCAAGAAUCACCCUCAUAGCUAUUAUGAUUUGGAAGUUACAAAAAUCACAAGAUGAUACAGAUGGGCUGUCAAGAAUCUGGACCAGUUUUGGUUGCCUACUAUUUUAGACAAAUGUACCUAUAGAAUUUGGAAAAGUGUUCUAUAGAAGAGUUGUAUACAAUUUUAUAAGCUUUGCAACAGUAUAAGAUGGAACUUAUUCGGAUAAGUAGAACCUGAGAUAUGACAUUUACACUUGGAUGUUUCUGUUCUGUUUCAAAAUUUGGACAGAUCUGGCAUUUUCUUAAUUUCAGCCAAUUUAACUUCAGAAUCUGGGAAAAUGUUGUAUACGAAAGUUGUAGAGGAUUUCCUAAGAUUUUAAAAAAUGUAAGGAUCAUCUCCAGAUGAGUUAAGCAGCUCGAGAUAUAAUUUUUGGAAGUUACAGCACCUUUGCUGAGACAUUAUCAGGAAGGAUAUUAUGUUUGGUUAUUUUACCUAAGCUUAAAGACAGAAUCUAAUGAGGUCUUCUACAUGAAAGUUGUGGUGAAUUUCAUAAGUUUUCUAACGAUAUAAGCUAUAACUCUAUUGGAUUAACAGAAUGAGGGUUAUACCAGUUUUUCUAUGCUGGUGUUUUUCAUAUCGCGGGAAAAUUUCAGGAUACAUGUCUGUUCUCUUGCACAGAAGCUCUUUGGGAUGUCAUAAGUUCUCAAUGUUAGUUAACUUGUCUGGAAAACAUGCUAGCUACCUUUCUUGUGUCCCCUAGUUGACCUUUCUUAAGGGGGUAGCCCAAAUAAAGGGGUUACAUGGAGAAGAAUUGGAUAAUGUUGGAUGGGUCAAGAGACUCGGUACAGCGAAUUUUAAAGACUGUAUGACGUGUAGCAUUUAAAAAGGUUAUGAGGACUAGUCCCUAAUGUUUCCCCAAUCAAUCUCGUCUUAAGGGGGGUAGUACCCUGGUAUCAGUGGGUGAUGCAUUUUAAAACUAGCUUGAAGUGAUAAUUGUCUUCUGAGAUAUUCUAUGGUUAUGAUCAUCUAUCCUUGCCGUGUUACUGACGUUGGUCACAUGAUGACAGGGAGUGUAAUGUCCCAUGAAUCCGGAGCACAAUAUGAUACCUCUCAUGGAUAGGUGGGAAGAAUAUGAUCAUCUUGCCUUUGAAGAAAGAUGCUAUGAGUAUGACAAAGCUGAGUGUUAUCAAAGUAAUAAUACGGAAGAGCAAGUUGACAUUGAAUCAAAUCAGAAUCCACAACGACGGAAGCGAAAAAGGAAAGCCCGUAAGAAGCCUGCUCACGGAAAUAAAGUACAGCAAAAUUAUAUCACUGGAAGACUAAACAAUGUGGAUAUGAAUAACAUUCAAGGAGUCACCAAAGUGGUGGGUGGUUAUGUUCAAGUGGACUCAGUGUUGGUUUUUGCUCUAUUUGACCGAAGUGCUUCCCAUUCUUUCAUUUCUGCCAACUUGGUAAAAAGAAUUGAGCGGGUGAACUGUCCAACAAGGAAGCCUUUGUUAGUUCAAACUCCAAAGGGAGAAAUACAGGGAGACCAGGUUUGCUCGAAUAUUAAUCUGGUCAUAAGCAAGGAGAACUUCACAGUAAACCCUAUUGUGCUAGAGUCACUCAAUAUUCCUUUGGUUCUUGGCAAUGGAUGGUUAUGUGCACACAAGGCAGUGAUCUAUGCUACCCAGUGGAAACUUUUCUUAACCACACCAUCAGGGAAAAGAAUUGAGUAUCAAGAUGGUCCACUCCUACAUGAGGAGGCAUAUCCAUGCUAAGCUAUCAUGUCUUUGAGUUGUAUAAGUCAAAAGUUGGUAGUCAAGAUGGACAGUGAUCGGUUUAUGAAUAAUAGACACUCUGUGGAAAAUUUGAGUUUAUCUUUGGUAUGCAAGUUGUAAAAGUUGAAAGAGUUAUCAAGAUCUUUAUUAUGUUUUCUCUAAGUGGAUCUGUGUCUCUUUCGAAUCUCGAGGACGAGAUUCAUUUUAAGGGGAUAGAUUUGUAACACCCAAAAAUUUGCUCAUUUUGAAAUAGGUGAAAAACAAUUUAAUUUAUUGUUUUUGUGCUCAUGAAAAUAUAGAAAGAAUAAUAUUUUUCUUUAAAAUAAAAUUUAUCAUAAGGCUUAGCAACAAAUGUGUGUAAAACAUACUGGUGCAUUUUAUUUCUGAGAUGAGUGAUUUUGACCAAAGUUUGAAAAUGUUUCAAACAGAUUUUUAAAUGGAUUUGAAGUAGGUUUUUGAUUAAAAGAAAAAGAAAAAAAAAGAAGAAGAGACAAAACCUCUCCUUUUCUUUCUCUCCAUCUCGUCCCAGCACCCCCUCCCCUUUCUCCCCUCGCGCGGCCCAGCUCGCGGCGCGGCCCAGUGUCGCCCCAGCCCAACCGCGCCACCCUUCCCCUCUUCUCUCUCUGACCAGCGGGCCCCAUUCUUUCUCUCUCUGACCGGUGGGACCCUUCCGUCAGCGCCUCCCUUCUCCCUUUCUUCCCCAGCGUGAC
Molecule: long non-coding RNA, 6161 nt
Filed under: Sorghum bicolor (sorghum)
Lineage: Eukaryota; Viridiplantae; Streptophyta; Magnoliopsida; Poales; Poaceae
Description: long non-coding RNA (SBIC_LNC010209)
Source: RNAcentral